RNAcentral lists this long non-coding RNA (330 nucleotides) under Ananas comosus (pineapple). Its description in RNAcentral is "long non-coding RNA (ACOM_LNC043369)". The record is from RNAcentral. Lineage: Eukaryota; Viridiplantae; Streptophyta; Magnoliopsida; Poales; Bromeliaceae.
UAUCAAACCUAGGGUUUGAUCUCAUUGGGAAGCAAAAGUAGCUUCAAUAUACUCUAAAGAGUUCAUCUAUACCAUUCCUAGCUCAUUCCAAACCCUAGUUUGGAUUUCACCAUGAGAGGUGGGUUGAAGCUCACCUUUGAGCUUUUCUAGGUUUUGAUCUCUAAAGAAGCAAAAGAAAGCUUCAAAACUCUUCAAACAUUCCAUUAAAACCCAUUGCUAGAUCAUUCAAAACUCAUUCUAGGGUUUUACUAUAGUAGGGAUCAAAGCUUACCUCCAAGCUUUCCCUAAGUUGCUCCAAGGAGGAAGAAGAAGAGGUAGGCCCACUACUUG